UACGGAGGAUCCGAGCGUUAUCCGGAUUUAUUGGGUUUAAAGGGUGCGUAGGCGGGGCAGCAAGUCAGUGGUGAAAUCUUUCGGCUUAACUGAAAAACUACCAUUGAAACUGUUGUCCUUGAGUAUAUUUGGAGUGGGCGGAAUGUGUCAUGUAGCGGUGAAAUGCUUAGAUAUGACACAGAACACCAAUCGCGAAGGCAGCUCACUAAACCAUAACUGACGCUGAAGCACGAAAGCGUGGGGAUCAAACAGGAUUAGAUACCCU
This 265-nucleotide ribosomal RNA is filed under the name uncultured prokaryote. Its description in RNAcentral is "partial 16S ribosomal RNA". It matches the Rfam family "Bacterial small subunit ribosomal RNA", at positions 524 to 788 of the family's 1533-position model. The record is from RNAcentral.